GAUGAACGCUGGCGGCGUGCCUAAUACAUGCAAGUCGAGCGAACGGACGAGAAGCUUGCUUCUCUGAUGUUAGCGGCGGACGGGUGAGUAACACGUGGAUAACCUACCUAUAAGACUGGUAUAACUUCGGGAAACCGGAGCUAACACCGUAUAAUAUUUUGAACCGCAUGGUUCAAUAGUGAAAGACGGUCUUGCUGUCACUUAUAGAUGGAUCCGCGCUGCAUUAGCUAGUUGGUAAGGUAACGGCUUACCAAGGCAACGAUGCAUAGCCGACCUGAGAGGGUGAUCGGCCACACUGGAACUGAGACACGGUCUAGACUCCUACGGGAGGCAGCAGUAGGGAAUCUUCCGCAAUGGGCGAAAGCCUGACGGAGCAACGCCGCGUGAGUGAUGAAGGUCUUCGGAUCGUAAAACUCUGUUAUUAGGGAAGAACAUAUGUGUAAGUAACUGUGCACAUCUUGACGGUAACUAAUCAGAAAGCCACGGCUAACUACGUG
Molecule: ribosomal RNA, 497 nt
Filed under: uncultured bacterium
Lineage: Bacteria
Description: partial 16S ribosomal RNA
Rfam family: Bacterial small subunit ribosomal RNA
Source: RNAcentral